Molecule: unclassified non-coding RNA, 2166 nt
Filed under: uncultured fungus
Lineage: Eukaryota; Fungi
Description: sequence contains 18S rRNA gene, ITS1, 5.8S rRNA gene, ITS2, 28S rRNA gene
Rfam family: Eukaryotic large subunit ribosomal RNA (bases 981-2166)
Source: RNAcentral
GGAAGGAUCAUUACCGAAGCGGGGAUGCCUUGAUUGGCUCCUUCGUUUAGCAGCCGACGGCUGUUGCAUAUAAAGUCGGGUCAGUGUGGCUCGCACGUCUUGAUUGUGUACUGGUGUGUUUGGCUUCUUGAUUGGAGCUGCCAGUGAUCGGGCGUUUUUGAGAAAUCUUGGCGUGGUCGAUUGUAGUUUCCACCGGUGGCAGAGCGUGUCCGCCGGUGGGGUGCAUAAUCGAACGCGUCACGGGAUACCUACGGGUCUACAAGUCGAUGCUGACUGGCCGAUCUCUGCAUAACACACGCAAGGCCAGUCAGAGUUGUUCGCCGUAGACGGAGGAUCGCAGUGUCCGAGGUUGUAAAAUAGCUGCAGCGAGCGUCGCUGCCGAGCCGGAGCUGUCAAAAGCAGCAACGUGUCUCGCAUUGGCUAUCCCGCUGUGUUUGUUUCGGCAGACACGUUACUAUGUACAAGAGGUAUGAAAAUGUAGCGAGUGAGGUUUGCAAAAGCCGAACAAGCGAAAAUUAAACCGAUUGAAUCACUCUGUGCGGUGGAUCAUUCGGCUCGUGGGUCGAUGAAGAACGCAGCAAAAUGCGAGACGUAACGUGAAUUGCAGGACAUCGCGAACGUACAUUCUUCUAACGCACAUUGCGGCUUCGGGUUGACCGAAGCCACGCCUGGUUGAGGGUCAGUUGAAAAAACCUUCAUGGUUCCGCUUGAAUCAUGAAUUGUCUGCGUAGCGCACGGUAAAACGAGCGCUAGCAGAUCAAGUGCAGUCCGAAUGAAUGCUUGAUCAGUGGCACUUGCUGCGUACCGGCGUGGUACGAGAGUGAAUGUCGUUGAGUUGGUAGCAUAAUGGCGGUUAGAAGCCGAAGCCUUCUAAAUACACCGGCCUAGCCAACUCGCGAGUAUCAUCUCUCAAGCGGCUCGAGUCCCAGGCGCUCAGUUAGAGCAUUCGCGUAUUCAUAUGUAUGAAAAAUUCAUUCUUUUGACCUCAGCUCAGACGAGAUUACCCGCUGAACUUAAGCAUAUUACUAAGCGGAGGAAAAGAAACCAACGGGGAUUCCCAUAGUAACUGCGAGUGAAAUGGGAAGAGCCCAUCGCUGAAUCCGACUGCUGGCAACGGUGGUCGGAGCUGUAGCGUGAAGCUGGUUAUUAUCCACUUGACGUGCUAGUGUAAGUUCUCCUGAGUGAGACUCCAUGCUAGGAAGGGUGCAAGCCCCGUGUCACGAGCCGUUUAAGUGGAUACAAGCUAGCGAAGAGUCGCCUUGUUUGCGAGUACAAGGUGAAGUCGGUGGUAAACGCCAUCGAAGGCUAAAUAUGACCACGAGUCCGAUAGCGAACAAGUACAGUGAUGGAAAAUUGAAAAGAACUUUGAAGAGAGAGUGAAACAGUGCGUGAAACCGCUCAGAGGCAAGCAGAUGGGGCCUCGAAGGCAGAGCAGCGAAUUCAGUUGGUAGUCCGUGGCGAUGGCUGGUAUGUGAGAUUGCAAAACUCUGGCUGGCUAUUUAGCUGCGGCUGCUGAUGCACUUUCGUUGUUCGUACGCCUCCGCCGUUGACUGGCAUCCGCCUGACUUGCGCCGUGGAGCCUUUCUCCCGUUAAAAGGAGUCGGUGUCUCACUGCAGGUCGUGGCGCGUUUGCUGGUCAACCGGUCAAGUCAGCAUGUGCCAGCGUAAGCGUUGGGUCCGGUGCUCUUGUCGCGGCACGGUGGAUGACGAACGCAAGUUCGGCUCUGCCGUACGUGGCGGAAUCGCUAAGGCUUUCAACGUGGCACAUUGUAGAUUCGGAGGUGAGUAGACGGCUGCCCAUCUAACCCGUCUUGAAACACGGACCAAGGAGUUCAACAUGCACGCUAGUUGUUGGGUUACAUCCGAAACCCGCUAGCAAAGUGAAAGCAAGUCACAGCUCUGCUGUGUAUUUGGCGAGAUCCCGUCACUUGGGGGUGUCAAAAGCCCACAAGCCGGGCGCAUCGCCGGCCCAUCAUAAGCUCACGUGGCUGUGGUGGAGCUUGAGCGUGCGCGUUGAGACCCGAAAGAUGGUGAACUAUGCCUGGACAGGAUGAAGCCAGGGGAAACUCUGGUGGAGGUCCGUAGCGAUUCUGACGUGCAAAUCGAUCGUCUGAUCUGGGUAUAGGGGCGAAAGACUAAUCGAACCAUCUAGUAGCUGGUUCCCUC